GAGUGACUGUAGUUGUUGCUGCCAAAUUUAGUCAAAAGCUUAUCAGAAUUUCGAGAUAAGAGAAUUUCAGGAUAUGUUUUUUGCCAAGAUGGAGUGCAUGCCUAUAGUAAGGGCAUACCUUAAAGCGAGUACCAAUGGAAGAGAACUUGGACUGCUUUGAAGAUUCUUCUGGUAAUGGAGGAAAGAGAUUUGCUACGAAAGGAUCCUUUGAGGCAAUUAAUAAAGCUUGAUGUUCUGCCACGACGUAAUCUUUGUUCUUGUCAAGGAACUGAUCGGCUUGGUGUGGAAAUACCUCUGGUGGUGCAGCACAGAGCAUGUAGAAGCAAUGAUAGUUCCUCUCAGGGUCAGAUACCUGGCAAACUCUCGAGCGCUCAAGAAGAUAUGUGCGGACUGCAGCUCCAGAAAUCUUCCCAUAUUUGUCAAAUUGGAUUUCAACAAAUUUACCGAAACGACUGAGUGAACACUUCUCCAUCAGGCAUCUGCGACUGCAAAAAGAUGUGGACUUAGCUCCCCAAAUGCAGCACCAUUGUACUGUUCCAUCAUGUGUACGUCGUAGAGAUGAGGCAACCUUCGGAAAGGGUUCACUGCAAUUAAUAUAUUCCCUGUGGAAUAGCGGGAGGCGAGGUUAGAUAAAACUCCUGGUUCAUGGAGGUAAGCCAACUUGGUCAUAUCAUCUACCCCAGCAGGAGGAGCUUCUGUAUCCUUUGGAUAGAUACUGGAAAGAUUUGCCACUAUCUGCAUAGUUGAUCAAUAUCUGAAUUAAUCUUUGUAAGAUAUCAUUACUGAGUGGAGUAUUCAAAUACUGUAAAAUGUGGCAAGCUAUUUCAUUUUGUUCCUAAAAUGGUAAAAUUCCAUUGGACACCAGAAUCUCGGAAGUUUUAUUCCUAUAACAGUAGCAUGUGAAUCUAGCUACAACAUUAUGCUUGAACUAGAUAGUGGCCAUGAUGUUUUUUAAAUUGUCAUUUAUGGGAAAAAA
This is a non-coding RNA of Phoenix dactylifera (date palm), 976 nucleotides long. The record is from RefSeq and is a predicted model, not a curated record. Lineage: Eukaryota; Viridiplantae; Streptophyta; Magnoliopsida; Arecales; Arecaceae.